RNAcentral lists this ribosomal RNA (478 nucleotides) under Fusarium oxysporum. Its description in RNAcentral is "eukaryotic LSU rRNA". The stretch from base 124 to 277 matches the Rfam family "5.8S ribosomal RNA". Lineage: Eukaryota; Fungi; Ascomycota; Sordariomycetes; Hypocreales; Nectriaceae. The record is from RNAcentral.
GUGAACAUACCACUUGUUGCCUCGGCGGAUCAGCCCGCUCCCGGUAAAACGGGACGGCCCGCCAGAGGACCCCUAAACUCUGUUUCUAUAUGUAACUUCUGAGUAAAACCAUAAAUAAAUCAAAACUUUCAACAACGGAUCUCUUGGUUCUGGCAUCGAUGAAGAACGCAGCAAAAUGCGAUAAGUAAUGUGAAUUGCAGAAUUCAGUGAAUCAUCGAAUCUUUGAACGCACAUUGCGCCCGCCAGUAUUCUGGCGGGCAUGCCUGUUCGAGCGUCAUUUCAACCCUCAAGCACAGCUUGGUGUUGGGACUCGCGUUAAUUCGCGUUCCUCAAAUUGAUUGGCGGUCACGUCGAGCUUCCAUAGCGUAGUAGUAAAACCCUCGUUACUGGUAAUCGUCGCGGCCACGCCGUUAAACCCCAACUUCUGAAUGUUGACCUCGGAUCAGGUAGGAAUACCCGCUGAACUUAAGCAUAUCAA